UGGCGGUGUAGCUCAGCCUGGUAGAGCAAGCGGCUCAUAAUCGCUGUGUCACCGGUUCAAGUCCGGUCACCGCUACCC
This 78-nucleotide transfer RNA is filed under the name Modestobacter marinus. Its description in RNAcentral is "tRNA-Met". It matches the Rfam family "tRNA". Rfam says of the family: Transfer RNA (tRNA) molecules are approximately 80 nucleotides in length. Their secondary structure includes four short double-helical elements and three loops (D, anti-codon, and T loops). Lineage: Bacteria; Bacillati; Actinomycetota; Actinomycetes; Geodermatophilales; Geodermatophilaceae. The record is from RNAcentral.